UAGAACAAACAAGUAACAGACUUAAAAUCUGUUGUCCGCAAGGACGUGCCGGUUCGAUUCCGGCCUAGCGCACCA
RNAcentral lists this transfer RNA (75 nucleotides) under Caudoviricetes sp. RNAcentral's name for it is "tRNA-Leu". It matches the Rfam family "tRNA", at positions 13 to 71 of the family's 71-position model. From Rfam's summary of the family: Transfer RNA (tRNA) molecules are approximately 80 nucleotides in length. Their secondary structure includes four short double-helical elements and three loops (D, anti-codon, and T loops). Lineage: Duplodnaviria; Heunggongvirae; Uroviricota; Caudoviricetes. The record is from RNAcentral.